GGGAAUGUGGCUUAGUGGUAGAGUGCUUGCUUAGCAUGCAUGAAGCCCUGGGUUCGAUUCCUCAGUACUA
RNAcentral lists this transfer RNA (70 nucleotides) under Dipodomys ordii (Ord's kangaroo rat). It matches the Rfam family "tRNA". Rfam says of the family: Transfer RNA (tRNA) molecules are approximately 80 nucleotides in length. Their secondary structure includes four short double-helical elements and three loops (D, anti-codon, and T loops). The record is from Rfam by way of RNAcentral. Lineage: Eukaryota; Metazoa; Chordata; Mammalia; Rodentia; Heteromyidae.